AGCGGUGAAAUGCGUAGAUAUUAGGAGGAACACCAGUUGCGAAGGCGGCUCUCUGGACUGUAACUGACGCUGAGGCACGAAAGCGUGGGGAGCAAACAGGAUUAGAUCCCCUGGUAGUCCACGCUGUAAACGAUGAGUACUAGGUGUCGGGGGUUACCCCCUUCGGUGCCGCAGCUAACGCAUUAAGUACUCCGCCUGGGAAGUACG
RNAcentral lists this ribosomal RNA (207 nucleotides) under Clostridioides difficile. Its description in RNAcentral is "partial 16S ribosomal RNA". It matches the Rfam family "Bacterial small subunit ribosomal RNA", at positions 677 to 884 of the family's 1533-position model. Lineage: Bacteria; Bacillati; Bacillota; Clostridia; Peptostreptococcales; Peptostreptococcaceae. The record is from RNAcentral.